UCCAGUGUUGUGAUAUACAGUACCCAAUUCAUCCUUCUUCAGUUCCUCCAUCUUACCAUCCUCAGACAGAAUCUCCCUGCUCAAUCCAACCUCAUGACUACAUUUCACCCCAACUGCACCCAUCGAAACCUCAUUUCCUCCAUCUCCACCAAUCUCAGAGACCUCCUUUUCUCCAUUCAAUUCAUGGCAAACCACUUCACUAGUAGUCCCACCCUCAUCAAUCUUAUCAACACUAUCACCACCAACCAAAUCCUUCGACCUUUCUCCACCAACCACUGCAGCCAAAUCCUCAAGGUC
RNAcentral lists this unclassified non-coding RNA (297 nucleotides) under Hevea brasiliensis (rubber tree). The record is from RNAcentral. Lineage: Eukaryota; Viridiplantae; Streptophyta; Magnoliopsida; Malpighiales; Euphorbiaceae.